RNAcentral lists this long non-coding RNA (5666 nucleotides) under Solanum tuberosum (potato). Its description in RNAcentral is "long non-coding RNA (STUB_LNC005781)". Lineage: Eukaryota; Viridiplantae; Streptophyta; Magnoliopsida; Solanales; Solanaceae. The record is from RNAcentral.
ACGGUCUUCUUCUCCCUUGGCAUAGCAGCAACCUCACCCAUCGAUCUCUAUCUUCAAUACAAAUUUUUAAAUUUGAGCGACAUCCAUCCGGGCAUUAACCAGUCUCACUAAUGCAAUGGAUUCAAACUCUUUGAAGACUUCUUCAACUCAAAAGUCGUUUAUCUUUUUCAAAGCUAGAUAAGAUCACUGAGUGGAAGCAUUUAAGCUUGAAAGGUCCCCUUAACAGGACGACUCACCCUUUGUUUCUUUAUCCUCUGCAGAUUGAGCUCAGAAAGCUAAUACCACUGCAUAAGGAGCUAGAGCAUUAGGUAAGUCUUCCCUAUUUGUUCGGACAUUUCAAGAGAAUAGCUUCAACAAAAAUGCUUUUUCUUCAUGGUCUGAAAAUAUAGCACGAUAUUUUUUAUCGUUUGCACUGCCUGUGUUUUCAAAUAAGCUUGUAUUUUUUUACUUGAAUUAGUGUAUUGCAGCUCAUGUGUCAUGACUUUGAAAUCUAUUUUGACACCUUGUAAAUCUGAUGUUCGAAAUCUGUUGUUUGUCCAUUUGGAUAAUCGCCUUGGCCCUCUGUGGUAUUUCCGAAACAGUAUGAAAUUGUUUGUUGUUAGUACCUGCAAUGAAGAUGUGGUUAGUAAAAAAAUCUGCUAACAUAUUCCCUUGUUUGUAAGUGUUCAACACCUCCACAGUAUGCUCUCUCACCAGCCCUUGGAUUCUUCUUAUAUCCACUACAAUAGCCCAAGGAAUUUCCCAAAUCCCGUCUAUGAUCUUCUUAGCAAGAAGAGAAUCUGUUUCGACAAUUAGAGGAAGCAAAUUAUUCGAGAUGCAAUAUUCUAAUCCAGCACCCAAAGCUUUCACUUCUACCUCAAGUGCAGAUCCUACCAAUACCUUGUUCACUUCUGCAUACAUGAAAUCCCCUAAGUGAUUUCUAAUACAAAAUGCAUAGACACUGAGGUUCAUAUUAUCCUUGUAAGCACCAUCACUGUUGCAUUUAAACUUACCUUCCUCGGGGAGCCUCCAACUAACAAUUUUACUAGAGAUUAGAGGACUGUAAUUAUCAAAUGCUUUCACAAUUAGCGGCCAAAACAUAGGAAUAUUAUCUAACCAAGGAUAUCUGUAUGCUGCCAACAGAGAGAAUUUAGACAUCUUCCCUCCAUGUGUAAUUUUAUUCCUUCUUUUCCAAAUUUUCCAUAUUAUGAACACAGGAACAGCUUUGAACAAAGGUUUAAGUUUUGGUACACAUUUUCCAUUCCACCAUUUAUCAAUUGUAUGUUUAAGCUGUAAAAAAGGACCUUGAAUCCCUACAACAUCUGCAAACAACUCCCACAGUUCAUUAGCCAUAGGACAUGUAAUAAACUGAUGUUCAAAGGUCUCUUAAGAAUCGUUAUUGCAACAGCAACACACAACAGAAUCAUGACUUUUAUCUUGAUCAAAACCUCCCCAAUAGGAAUUCUUUGAAACCAAAUUCUCCAUAGCAAAAAGGAUAUUCUAAAAGGAAUUCCUGAUUCCCAGAUAUUCAUAAUCCCUUCCUGUUUUCCUUUUCUUUGUCUGGAAAGUUCCCAUGCACUUUCCACAGUAAAUUUUCCAGAACUUUUGGGCAUCCACCAUGCCUUAUCUCUUUCCUCAGAUUUCUGCAGCCUUCCAAAAACAUUAUGAAUUUGGUUGCACACUUUAGUAGGGAAUAACUCCUCCAUCAGAUUAUAGUUCCAUCCUUCCUCAUUUCUGAUCUGUUGAACCUCUUUAUAGGCUUCAUUAAUCUCAUAAGAAAUAGGAAGAUAUGAAUGUAUAGCCCCUAGUUGUAUCUAAUUAUCAUACCACAAGCUAGUAUGACCAAUUCUUGUCUCCCACCAGAUAUUUUGGUCAAAAAAGUCUGGCUUGUAGCAUAUGCUUCCAAAUCUGUGAAACACCUUUCCAUUCUACCUUCUGAGGUCUAAUUCUUUUACAAUACUUAUUCCACAUGAAAGUAGACCAUAGGGUGUUUGUGGUUCUGAAUUUCCACCAUAGCUUUGCAAAAAGAUCUUUUGAUACAUCAAAUAAGGAUCUAAAUCCCAAUCCUCCUUCUUCUUUUGGUAGACAUAUGUCAUGCCAAGAUACCUAAUGUUUUGCCCUCCCCCCUUCUUUAGAGUUCCAUAGAAAUUUAGCAAACAUCCUAUGGAUAUCCAUUAUCACACACUUAGGAGGCACAAUAGCAGAUAACAAAUAAAUAGGAAUACUCUGCUAAACACUAUUGAUUAAAACUGAUUUCCCUCCAAAUGACAACAAUUUUCCUUUCCAAAGUUACAACUUGUUUUGAAUAUUUUUAAUCAACUCUGAAAAGUGGGCCUUUUUCUUCUUUGCAUGUCCAAGUGGACAUCAUAGAUAGAUCAAGGGAAAAUUUGCUUUCACAAAACCAGUAACACUUUCAACAACUUGAACAUCUGCAGUUGCAACUUUGUUGAACAUGUAGUAAAAGUUUUUCUCCUUAUUAAUUUUCUGUCCAAAUUGCUCCUCAUAGUUAUUCAAUACCUCAAUUAUAUACUGUAAAGAUUUUUCCUCUGCUGCAGCAAAUAUUAUAGUAUCAUAUGCAUAAGCAAGAUGAUUCAGCUUCUCACUCCAUUUAGGCAUCCCAAAGGGUUUAAAAUCUGUAUAAGAAAACAAACUGUUAAAAGCUUUUGAUAAUACUUCUGCAGAGAGAAUGAAAAGUGCAGGAGAUAGGGGAUCUCCUUGUUUAACACCCCUGGAAGAAUGAAAGAAUCCAUGGGCUUGUCCAUUAAUGAGAAUGGAAUACCAAUUAUUUGCCAAAAUCCUCCAAACCAGAUCCAAUAUAUCCCCAUCAAAAAUCAUCAUUUCCAUCACAUUAAUCAAAAACUUCCAGUUCACCCUGUCAUAGGCUUUAGCCAUAUCCAAUUUGAUUACCACAUUAGCAGGUUUACCCAUCUUUCUUAUAUUAGGAUGAUCUCUUGAGCAAGCAACACAUUUUCAGUAAUACUCCUUCCCUUAACAAAACCAGAUUGAUUUUGUGAGAUCAAUUUGGGCAAUAAAUCUUCCAUUCUAUCAUGCAUCACUCUUGAAAUCACCUUAUUGAGAAAACUACUCAAACUAAUUGGUCUUAAGUCUGAAAAGGAUUUGAUCACAUCUUUUUUUGGAAAAAGAACCAAAUUAGUAUGAGUAAUUGAUUUAGGGAGGGUGCACCCUUGAAAAAAGGCCUGAACAACUUUCAGAAUAUCACCUCCUACUAUCUCCCAACAAUGUUGAUAGAAGUGACCAGUGAAACCAUCAGGUCCACUUGCAGUAUCACCAUUUAAUUCAAAAACCACCUUUUUAACCUACUCUUCAGAAGGUAAAGCUUUAAUCCUUAGGUUUUCAGCCAAAGUAACCUGAGGAGCAAUGUGUUGGAGAAGAGAUUUAUCUGGAUUGCAAGAACUUUCUAAAAAUUUGAUUUUCAAAAAACUUUAGAGCUUCUAUAGCAAUUGCUAAAUCUCCUUCUGCCCAACCUCCAUCUUCUUUAAGAAUUCUCUUCAAGGUUAACCUCUUUCUUCUCCCUUUUACCAAGCAAUGAAAGAACUUGGUAUUCUUUUCACCUUCAUAAAACCAUUGGGAACUUGAUUUAUGUCUCCAAAAUUCCUCCUCAUAAUGAAUAUAUAACUUGAGUUCUGCCUGUGCUUUCUGUAAAAUAGUUCUAUUAAAAGAGUUGGGAUUUUGUUCAAACAAUUCUUUUUUCAACCUUACAAUUUCUUCCCUAAUCACCAAUUGUUUGAAGAUAUCCCCCAAACUUUUCUUUACUCCACAUGCUAAGGGAAAGUUUAGUUUUCUUUAACUUCUGCUUCAGCUGGACAAAAAUAUCACCAUCAUAAUCAGCACACCAAUUAUCUAAGACCACUUUUAUAAAGUUAUCCCUCUCCGUCCAAAAUUUCAAAAAAUUGAAAGGCUUGGACACAGGCUUAUUAGAUCCACCACAAGUCAACAAUAGAAGAGCAUGGUCAGAGCCUGUUCUAGCAAGAUGUUGUACUUCCACAUUACCCAUCAAAUCUUGCAUAGAUUGAUUGAUAACAACUCUAUCAAGUCUCUUGAAAAUACAUCAUGCAUCAAUCCUACCAUUCCACCAAGUGAAUGGGCUACCAGAAAAAUGCAAAUCAAACAAGUCACAAGAAUUGACACAAAAGGCAAAAUCUUCAUAUUCCUGAGGAUAUAUUGGUAAUCCACAUAUCUUUUCUUCAUCCCCUAGAAUAACAUUGAAAUCCCCUCCCACCAUUCAUGGCAAGGAAAAUUCUUGACUCAAAGUAUAGAUAUCAUCCCACAAACUCAACAUUUCAAUAGAAGAGCCUUUAGCAUAUACUACUGUAGUUAAGAAUUGUUGGUCAUCCUCCAUGGAUAAGUGAAGAGUCAAUUGUUGUUCAGAGUCUGAAGUAACUCCCACUUGAAUAUGUUCUCUAAUGAAUAUCCAGAUCUGCCCAUUACUGUUAUAAUUUACAUACUGCAUCCCCAAUCUUCUCUUGAAUCUUUGAAUAUGAGUAGUAUCUUGGAAUGGCUCCAUUAAAGUAAUAAGAAAGAAUUUGUGAUGUCUGUGUAACAUUUGAACUCUGUGAAAAGCAUUUUGUGUUUCCACAGACCUUAUGUUACAGAAUAAGGCUUUUGUCAUUUGGAUAUUGAUUUAACCACCCUCUUAGCUUGUAUCCUUGUUGGUCUAAUAAUGGCAUCACCUUUAUCUACCUUUUCUCCUUUACCAUCUCCCUUUUUUUCUCCCUUUUUACCCUUGGAUAGAGUACUUGGGGAUAAACCAGUUGCACUACACACACUUUUAGCAUUAGAUUCAUUCAUGUCUUCUUCUUUAUCUGCUAUUGUUUGUUUUGUUGUUUCAGCAUAUAUUGUAAUCUGACCCUCUGUUGUUUCAUGUUGAAUCUAAUGAGAUAUUAAUGCAUGCAGGUUUUCCAUAGGUGGUGACUUCUGAGGACUUCCUGCCAUGGGCUUGGUUACUCCUAUUUUCUCUAUUUCUUUAUUUUCUUCUAUAUUAGUUAAAUGUAGUCUUGUUUCCUCUUGAGCAUGUGGAAAACUCCCUUCCCCAUAAGGUGCUAAUUGAAUUUGCAAUGGGACUUCAUAAAUGGCUUCAGCAAUUCCUUUCAUUAAGGUACAUUCACUUAUACCUUCUCCUGUGGUUUGUGCGACCACAAUGUCAGUAAUUAUUUGAUGAUCUACACCUCUUUCAGUGGCUGCUGUUUGCACUGACUCUCUAUUAACUUUAUCUUCUUUUGCAGGUAUAUCAACCAUUUCCACUGAUGACUCAUCCCUCCUCUGCAAAUCUAUGUAUCCAUCCUCUCCGGCCACCUCUUCAGAUGAUCCUUUCCCUUUAUAUUUAGCAAAUGCAUGACUAAUCCAAUCCUUAGAGGAAUGAUGCUGACAUUUUUUACCUUGUUUUUCUUUCUCCAUCAGUCCUCUAGCAGAUCCAUUAACAUUACUAGAUUGAUUGCUUGCACUGCUUAUUUCUUGUGUUUGUGAGUCUUCCUCUGUUCCUUCAGCUAAGGAUCCAAAGGUAUUGCUGGUUUUGACCUCCUUAGUAGGUGUACAUGCUUUGUCAUUCAUUAAGGAGUUGGGCGCUAAUGUGAAAACUCUGUGAGUAGCAUUCCAAUGCUUCUUAACCCCCUUUCUCCACUGCACUUCUGUGUGUUCUUUGGCUUUAUUCGAGUCACCUUGCUGAGUUA